ACGUAGGUAAUUUACCCUCGGGCGGGGACAAACUUUCGAAAGAGAAGCUAAUACCGCAUAAGACCACAGCCUCUGCGAGGGCAGUGGGAAAAGAAUGGCCUCUUCUUGAAAGCUAUCACCGGAGGAUAAGCCUGCGUCCCAUCAGCUUGUUGGUAAGGUAACGGCUUACCAAGGCGAAGACGGGUAGCUGGUCUGAGAGGAUGAUCAGCCACACUGGUACUGGAACACGGACCAGACUCCCACGGGAGGCAGCAGUGAGGAAUAUUGGGCAAUGGGCGCAAGCCUGACCCAGCCACGCCG
This 300-nucleotide ribosomal RNA is filed under the name uncultured Myxococcales bacterium. RNAcentral describes it as "bacterial SSU rRNA". It matches the Rfam family "Bacterial small subunit ribosomal RNA", at positions 115 to 399 of the family's 1533-position model. Lineage: Bacteria; Pseudomonadati; Myxococcota; Myxococcia; Myxococcales. The record is from RNAcentral.